UGCUCUGGUUCUUGGAGAUGUAACUAUGUCACCGAUGCCCCCUCGGCAAGAUGCCCAAUUUGCGGUAGCAGUAUGAGUACCAAACUUUCAUGGGUUGUUGGGCCAGCUGUGUCAUCCUCGUCCGAGACAUCCGGCAGUGAGGGUGGUUAUGUGCAAGGCGUUGUGACAUACAUGGUGAUGGAUGAUCUGGUCGUGAAGCCUAUGUCCACCAUUUCUUGUGUUACUCUCAUCAACAAGUUCAAUGUGCAGGAACUUCGGGAUCUUGAAGAGAAGGUGGUAGAUUUUGGGACGGAUGAGGACAUAUUAAGCCUUUUAUUCAUGUAGAUGUUAGUGAAAAUUGGAGGAUUAUUGAAUAACACGAGCGAUGUUAGUUAGAGCAUUUCUAAUGAUAGUUAAGAGAUUUCAGUGAGCCAUUGCUGGGAUAUGGAUGGUAGUAGUGUUGCCAU
Molecule: long non-coding RNA, 446 nt
Organism: Rhodamnia argentea
Lineage: Eukaryota; Viridiplantae; Streptophyta; Magnoliopsida; Myrtales; Myrtaceae
Exons: 3
Source: RefSeq, a predicted model, not a curated record